UAAGGAAUAUUGCACAAUGGGCGAAAGCCUGAUGCAGCAACGCCGCGUGCGCGAUGAAGGCCUUCGGGUCGUAAAGCGCUUUUCUGGGGGAAGAGUAAGGACGGUACCUCAGGAAUAAGUCUCGGCUAACUACGUGCCAGCAGCCGCGGUAACACGUAGGAGACAAGCGUUAUCCGGAUUUAUUGGGCGUAAAGGGCAUGUAGGCGGGCUCUUAAGUCGGAUGUGAAAUCUCUUGGCUUAACCGGGAGGGGUCAUUCGAUACUGGGAGUCUUGAGGGCAGGAGAGGGAAGUAGAAUUCCCGGUGUAGUGGUGGAAUACGUAGAUAUCGGGAGGAAUACCAGUGGCGAAAGCGGCUUCCUGGCCUGUGCCUGACGCUGAUAUGCGAAAGCGUGGGUAGCAAACGG
RNAcentral lists this ribosomal RNA (404 nucleotides) under uncultured bacterium. RNAcentral's name for it is "bacterial SSU rRNA". It matches the Rfam family "Bacterial small subunit ribosomal RNA", at positions 355 to 775 of the family's 1533-position model. The record is from RNAcentral.